GGAAGCAUCAUAAAGCAGAGCAGAGUGCUGUUUACUCUGAGGUGAAGACAGCAGCUGCAGAGGACAGUCUGAUGUAUGCUGAGGUCAAACAGCCCAAAAAAGAAAAAGCCAAGAAAAACAAAGGAACAUCAAGUCCUGCAGCUGAUGCAGCAGUUUAUUCUGAAGUCACAUCAGGAAGCUCUCUCAGUCAGUGAGGAGAGCUGUAGCAGCAAAGCCAAGAAGAAGCUUUUUAUGAAGCCACUCUUGCUCCUCUGAUAUUUUUUAAUUUAAAUCUAUGCUCUCAUUUUUAUGAAGAUUAUAUAUUUUUAAAACACACUUUAAAAAAAAUAUUCAUUGUUAAAGGUUUUGUAUAAAACUUUGAAUUUAUCCUGUUCCAAAAGCUGCAAAAUAAAUAAAUAAAUACUUUGAAAUAUGUGAUCAUAUAUUUAGUUUCUUAUAUAGCGCAACUUAAAGUCAGAGUUGUUUUCCAUGACUUUUGUUGCCAUGAAAACAGGAUACUGCUGGACUUCAAGUUUGCUCUGGCCAUUUUACUUUAGUUAUUUUUAUUGUCCUGUCUUAUUUUUAUCAUCUUUUGUUAUUCUAUUUGAGAAGGAUUUAUCUUUUAGCUCUUUUUAGAGUCAUUUUAUAUAUUGUGAAUGAAAUAAAUGUUCUUAUUUGCUACUCUAUUGGGUGUAAAAGACUUUUAUUGGUUACUUUCUAUUUUGCCUCUGCCUUAUUUUUAUCAACUGAAAAGCCUCAUGAUUUCCCCAAAAUGGGGAAACUAAGCAUGUGGUUUCAGCGAAAAGCCUUCUGUUUAUGAGAUGUCUUUUUUCAUGGUAUCAGCACAUAGCAGAGAGUAAACAAGGAGUUCAGAC
Long non-coding RNA from Haplochromis burtoni (Burton's mouthbrooder), 854 nucleotides. RefSeq lists it as uncharacterized. NCBI's taxonomy places the organism in Eukaryota, Metazoa, Chordata, Actinopteri, Cichliformes, Cichlidae. The transcript is spliced from 4 exons. The record is from RefSeq and is a predicted model, not a curated record.